CUUGUGGCUCCGCUGUGAAAGGCACGACAUUGCUCACAUUGCUUCCAGUGUUUUUUAAGCCAGCUCGGGUGCUGGCUUUUUUUU
This 84-nucleotide non-coding RNA is filed under the name Serratia proteamaculans. The record is from RNAcentral. Lineage: Bacteria; Pseudomonadati; Pseudomonadota; Gammaproteobacteria; Enterobacterales; Yersiniaceae.